RNA transcript from Leucoraja erinaceus (little skate), 3051 nucleotides. It is a transcript of the gene named STIM activating enhance, with no coding region annotated. NCBI's taxonomy places the organism in Eukaryota, Metazoa, Chordata, Chondrichthyes, Rajiformes, Rajidae. The transcript is spliced from 9 exons. The record is from RefSeq and is a predicted model, not a curated record.
CAGCCGGUACGCAGCGCCGCUCCGGUUGCCGAGGCCGAGGCCGCGGUCGGGACAGCGGGCCAGGGUAGGCCAUGGCCGUCAGUCAGCUGGAGCCCGGCGCCGUCGCCGAGCGGCCAUUGCACGGCUCUCUGGUCACCUCCAACCUGAGUGUCCCGCAUGGCACCGUUGACGGUCCCCGCGGCUGCGAGAAUGGCGCCCUGAUGGGCAACUUCGGCAUGUUCAUCCAAGGCUUACUCGGAGUGGUGGCCUUCAGCCUCCUGAUGUUGAAACGUUUUCGAGAACCAAAGUACGAGAGGCGACCGUGGAAGAUAUGGUUUUUAGAUACCUCAAAGCAGGCUAUUGGCAUGCUGUUUAUCCACUUUGCCAACGUCUACUUGUCCGACUUGACUGAAGAGGACCCAUGUUCAUUGUAUCUAAUUAAUUUUCUUCUGGAUGCCACUCUUGGUAUGCUCCUGAUCUAUGCUGGAGUGCGAACUGUAGGUGUCCUAGUUGAAUGCCAACAUUGGGAUUCUCUUCGUUUUGGAGAGUAUGGAGACCCACUGGAAUGCAGUGCCUGGAUUGGACAGUGCGCACUUUACUUACUGAUUAUGAUGUUGGAGAAGACUGUGGUGAUUAUCGUGCUGCUUUUACCUCAGUGGAGGAAGGUGGCUCUACUUAAUCCAAUCCAGAACCCACAGUUGGAGCUGGCUAUUGUGAUGCUGAUUGUCCCUUUCUUUGUCAAUGCAUUAAUGUUUUGGGUGGUGGAUAAUUUUCUAAUGAGGAAAGGCAAAACUAAAGCUAAACUGGAAGAAGAAGGUGGCGAGGAUGAUUCUAGAAGUAGCAACAAAGUUAGAUACAGAAGAGCAGCAUCACACGAGGAGUCUGAGUCUGAGAUUCUCAUUUCGCCAGAUGAUGAGUUGGAAGAAUCUGAAGGAGAUGAAGACCUGAGGAGAUUGGCAAACGUAAAGGCCGUUAAGAAGAAGUUGCGAUUUGGGGUUCUCCCAGUAUGACCCAGAAUGACCACAGUGCUCUAGUCCUUGGAGUUAUGAGGAGAAUCAUGCCAAUGCAGACGGAAUAUUUUCCUUGCUGCAAACUACACUGUGAAAAUGAGAUUUGUACAAUGUGUGGAGCAGCACCGGGAUCGGAAAGAAGAUUGGGGCGAGGCUGACGUACUUUGUGCUUGUGGUCUCAGCUCCCCUCUUUGCACUGAUACCAAACAUUCCUGAUCAAUGUUACCUAUUAUUUGCACAUGGAUGAUGUUCAGGGCCGUUGGGUGCAGGAGAACAGAUUUCUUUCAGCACGUCAAGUUUUGAUCCCUUGUUGUGUAAAUUAACAAAACAUUGCCCUGGAUUAUUACUGAUCUUAAAGCUGUCCUUUAGCUGAAUUUUAAGUUUGAGAAUUUGAGAAGGUGAUAUAGGCUUGAAUUGUUUUAAAGUGAAUAUGAGGUACAUACUAUUUUCUUUAGAAAUGUCUUCUAAUUAUUUAAAAUUGUACAAUCUCCAUGUACCAGUGCUCAGCAUAGCGACAGAUCUUUUCCAAACUGAGCAAACUAAGAGUUGGAAUUGCAUGAAGUCGCUACAGCUCUGUUGCAGUCAUUGCCAGGGUACCAAUCAAUGCUAUUCUCAGCUGUUCUCAAUCCAUCUCAUGUAGCAGAAUGGUAGACUACACAUCAGAGGGUCCUCACUCCAUGGCAUGUUUUCUCCCCACAGUUUGUGUGCCUGUCACUUUUGGGGAUAUUAUUGUGGGCAGAUGCAUCUGACCCGUAGUUUAUGGACUGCAAGUUGACGUGGGUUUUCUCAUCAUUGUUCUCACUACCAACCUGACCCCAGCCUGGCAGAGCUCAGCCAGUCCUUGUAAUGAACACUGAAGUUCCUCACUCAGUUUAUGUCCCAUGCCUUGCUAUUCAUAAUUCUUCUAAGUUGCACCAAUUAUGGAAGAGUUGCUUGCUCAUCAGUUGAGCAAGGAUAAUAGUUAGUCAUAAGCAGGAUUCAUUGCCCUUGUUUGAUCUGGAGAGUGAAUUGGUAUGUAUAGGUCCAGCAGGCCAACACACACCCUCUAUAGCUUAGUCACAUCCUACACUAUGCUGACCAGAACUGCACACAAUAUUCCACGUGCCGUCUCACUCUCAUCUCGUACAAUUGUAACGUUGCCCUGACUCUUGUACUCGGUGCCCUGACCAAUGAAGACAAGUGUGCCAAACGCCUUCUUCACCACCUUGUCUAACUAUGUUGCCAGUUUCAGGCAACCAUGACGGGCACUGCCUGACUUGCAUAAUAGACAAACGUAUGUAAGCAAGUCUUGAAGCCCACUGUUUUAUUUUCAAGUUGCAAGUCUCGGGAGCAAAGGGCUACUGCCGUCGCAUGCGGCCAUUUCCACAAGCUAUUUAGUCGGCUGUUCUUGCAGAUGCUCCCAUGUGGUCUCUGCGUUGAGAAGUACAUUUAUGCGUGUGAAGUAGCGCUUCCAUUUCCCACUUGGGAUGCAACCCUUAGUGAGUUGGGGAGCAUCUAUACUUGCAUCCCUCGGUUGCUGUUCUACAACAUGUUCUAGGGACCUGACAUUCAGUGUAUAUCCUGCUCUGGUUUAACUUCCAAAAACUUCCAAAAACGUCAUCUGCCAUUUCCUCCGCCUGCUUUCCCAACCAAUCCUGUAUAGACUUUCAGUUCAGUAAAUUGUGUUUUGUACUUCCUUUCCAUAGAUGAGAUUAGCAGGUAUACUUUAUGCAAGAUUAUGCCUCAAAUUUAGGCAGCAUUUUUAUCUUAUUGAAGGAUUUAACAACAGCUGUUAAAGGCUGUCGGUGUAAUUGGUAACAGAAUGGCCACAACAGGUACAACUGGAUUUAGAUGUUUUAUUGCUUGGUACUAAUAUAUUCAAUUGGGUCAUCCGUCAUUCCUCUAGUAUGGUUUAUAUACUGCACAAACUCCUGAAUCAGUGAAUCAGCAAAAUGCCACUUUGGCAAUCAGGAAGAGUUAAUUAUAUUUGAAAAUGUCUGGGAGUUGAGUAUAAGCUGUAUGUACCUUGUAUUUUACUUUAUAUUAAAGUAUUGGGAAUUUCAAACUACUUUUCUGGUGCCUG